GUCAGAGCCCGGCCCGCACCUGCGGAGCGCCCGCCCCGGGGACCCGCGCACCGGAGCGCUCGGUGCGAGGGAAGGCGGGGGAGACCCCCCCGGCUGCCGCCCCGAAUGGGCAUCCCAGGGGUUAAACAUGGCCGGAAAGAGCGUGUGGGGGGAGGAAAAAGUCCAAAAAUGAUAAAAAAGGGGGAUUCCGUGCGGCCAUCAGGCUCCGCACGACGGGGUCCCCCGGCUGGCGCUGGCAGCGCUCCCGCGGCAUCACUGCCCGCACACGGCCCCGCAGCCCGGGAUGCCGCGGGUGCGGCUCGCGUGGGGCUCCGCGGCUCGUUCGGAGGCCGAGAGUGACUCCUGGUGGCACGGCCGGCCCGGGGAGGAGGAGGAGGUGGUGAAGAAGAGCUGGGCUCCAUCAGCCACGAAAGGAAGGGUCCGAUCCCCGCAAUGGGAAGUAGCGCUGAAGUUUUGGCACAUCACAGCUGUUUUUUCACUGAAAUGCAUCAACAUUUAGAGAUCACGCCUCCAUCAAGAACCUCCUGGCAAGAUGAACUGCCCCAAAUCAAGGACGUGUCAUUUCCAAAUCCUAGUAGCCAAAAAAACCUCAUUGCUUAAGUCCCUAUUUGAGCUGCUAUCUAGACUCCAUUAUCCACAAAAUACAGGUUUCCAACAGAGCAGAUUUUAAAGAGUAAGUCUUUGGUUAUUGUUGCCUUAAAAUAAAUCUCCUAAAACACGUUUUACAAGCAUUUUUCUACUCUCCAGUGAGACCUGAGAGUGCUUGGGUCUGAGAAGGAAUAUGCAAACUACAGAUGAGAUGCAGAAAUCCUUAGUUUCAAGCAAUUUUUGGGAGCUUAUUUUUUGCUUUAUGAAUUGUAUAAAAAUACUACCUGGAGAAGAAAAAGUAAUAAUCAAUCCCAUGAAGAGGAAAAACAAUACUUGUCCUUAAUUUUACAUUUCUUAUGGAGUGUGAAUCAAUGGUCAAAUUCCAACUAAUUGAUUAAAAGAAAAUCCAAGACAGCCAGGAUUUUACUUUCAUUCCAUGAUUAAACACACAUCAUGCCUUCAUUAGCAAAAAUUACAAAUGGGAAUAAAACAGAUGCCCUAAACACAUCCUGCCAGAGUCCUUGACAAUUAAAAUUUCCUUGCAUUAGCUCUACCUGAUGCCAAAUCAGCUACAAAAAUGUCACAGGCUUUUUACUGAGGGUGUUAUCAGGAGUGUACUUUGAAUCCUUUGUACCA
Long non-coding RNA from Pseudopipra pipra, 1224 nucleotides. RefSeq lists it as uncharacterized. The transcript is spliced from 2 exons. Lineage: Eukaryota; Metazoa; Chordata; Aves; Passeriformes; Pipridae. The record is from RefSeq and is a predicted model, not a curated record.